Molecule: ribosomal RNA, 496 nt
Filed under: uncultured bacterium
Lineage: Bacteria
Description: bacterial SSU rRNA
Rfam family: Bacterial small subunit ribosomal RNA
Source: RNAcentral
GAUGAACGCUAGCGGCAGGCUUAACACAUGCAAGUCGAGGGGUAUUGGUUUUCGGACCAAGAGACCGGCGCACGGGUGCGUAACGCGUAUGCAAUCUACCUUUUGCAGAGGGAUAGCCCAGAGAAAUUUGGAUUAAUACCUCAUAGUAUAGUACUUUGGCAUCAAGGAACUAUUAAAGUCACAACGGCAAAAGAUGAGCAUGCGUCCAUUAGCUAGUUGGUAAGGUAACGGCUUACCAAGGCUACGAUGGGUAGGGGUCCUGAGAGGGAGAUCCCCCANACUGGUACUGAGACACGGACCAGACUCCUACGGGAGCAGCAGUGAGGAAUAUUGGACCAAUGGGGCGCAAGCCUGAUCCAGCCAUGCCGCGUGCAGGAUGACGGUCCUAUGGAUUGUAAACUGCUUUUGUACGAGAAGAAACAACAUUACGUGUAAUGUCUUGACGGUAUCGUAAGAAUAAGGAUCGGCUAACUCCGUGCCAGCAGCCGCGGUAAAG